CGGCAGGCCUAACACAUGCAAGUCGAGGGGCAGCGGGAGUGCUUGCACUCGCCGGCGACCGGCGCACGGGUGCGGAACGCGUAUCGAAUCUGCCUCUAUCUGGGGGAUACCCCAUGGAAACGUGGAAUAAUACCCCAUAGUAUUACUUUAUCGCAUGAUUUAGUAAUUAAAGAUUUAUCGGACAGAGAUGGCCAUGCGUAUCAUUAGCUAGUUGGUAAGGUAACGGCUUACCAAGGCAACGAUGAUUAGGGGCCCUGAGAGGGGGAUCCCCCACACUGGUACUGAGACACGGACCAGACUCCUACGGGAGGCAGCAGUGAGGAAUAUUGGACAAUGGUGGGAACACUGAUCCAGCCAUGCCGCGUGCAGGAUGACUGCCCUAUGGGUUGUAAACUGCUUUUAUACGGGAAGAAACCCAGGUACGUGUACCUGGCUGACGGUACCGUAAGAAUAAGGACCGGCUAACUCCGUGCCAGCAGCCGCGGUAAUACGGAGGGUCCGAGCGUUAUCCGGAAUCAUUGGGUUUAAAGGGUCCGUAGGCGGGCCUAUAAGUCAGAGGUGAAAGGCCACGGCUCAACCGUGGGACUGCCUUUGAUACUGUAGGUCUUGAGUUACAGUGGGGUUGCCGGAACAUGUGGUGUAGCGGUGAAAUGCAUAGAUAUCACAUAGAACACCAAUCGCGAAGGCAGGUGGCCAACUGUAUACUGACGCUGAUGGACGAAAGCGUGGGGAGCGAACGGGAUUAGAUACCCCGGUAGUCCACGCCGUAAACGAUGGACACUAGCUGUGGGGUUUUCGGACUCCGUGGCCAAGCGAAAGUGAUAAGUGUCCCACCUGGGGAGUACGUUCGCAAGAAUGAAACUCAAAGGAAUUGACGGGGGCCCGCACAAGCGG
Molecule: ribosomal RNA, 894 nt
Filed under: uncultured bacterium
Lineage: Bacteria
Description: bacterial SSU rRNA
Rfam family: Bacterial small subunit ribosomal RNA
Source: RNAcentral